UAACUCCUUCAGAAUGCCAUCUACAGAUGGUUAUCUAAUACAUUAAAAGAGAGUCAAUGGCUCUCCUAACGUGCCAUAUGUCGAGAGCUGGGCAUGCUACAUGUCGAUCUCUGACUCUUUCAGAAUGUCAUCUACCGAUAUUUAGAUACGCCACCUGAUGGUGUCUGGAGCUUGCUACUGGUUUUUAGUUGAAUGAAGAAAAAAAUUAAAAUAAAAAACUAUAAAAUAUAGAAUGGUACCACGGGACUUAUUAUGGG
This 257-nucleotide long non-coding RNA is filed under the name Elaeis guineensis (African oil palm). RNAcentral's name for it is "long non-coding RNA (EGUI_LNC019200)". The record is from RNAcentral. Lineage: Eukaryota; Viridiplantae; Streptophyta; Magnoliopsida; Arecales; Arecaceae.